This 295-nucleotide long non-coding RNA is filed under the name Ananas comosus (pineapple). Its description in RNAcentral is "long non-coding RNA (ACOM_LNC040601)". The record is from RNAcentral. Lineage: Eukaryota; Viridiplantae; Streptophyta; Magnoliopsida; Poales; Bromeliaceae.
AGAACAAAAUUUUAACAGGGAUGUGUGAAACAACCGUUGUACGUACUCUAAAAACCUAAGCUAUUAGAGAACUGUAUCUAUAUAUUUCUAUAUUUAAUACUCCCCCUCACGUCUGGACUCGAAAUUGGACUUGAUUUAAAUAAAAGAAAAUUAAUAAUGCUAAAAGUCUGGCGUAACUCAAACUCAGGGUUUUCCGUUUUGAAACCAUGUAAAACAAUCGUUGUACUAGAUCUAAAAGCUUAAUUAAGCUAUUAGAGAACGAUGUCUAUAUAUUUUUAUAUUUAAUAGGAUGUGG